AUUAGAUUUUAAAAAUGCAUCGAUUUUCGAUGCAAAAAUGUUAUUACAGAUAGAGGAGAAACUGCGAGCUGAAACUGAGUAGAUAGAGGAGAAACUGCGAGCGAUUCUAAACUGCCUGAGGCUGAUGUGGAUGGAAAUGGAACAAUCGAUUAUAUUGAAUUUAUUACUGCAACCAUGCAUAGGCACAAGCUAGAAAGAGACGAACAUCUAUAUAAAGCCUUCCAGCAUUUUGAUAAAGAUCAGAGCAGAUACAUUUGUGACAGGAUGCCCGGACUGUUAAUUCUAUGCCGUUUGGAAGCUCCAUAGUUCCUAUUCAAAAAGAAUAGUCGUCAUUGGCUUGAAGAGGAGAGAGAAACUGAUUUGCUUGGUAGAAGAGACCUUUGUAUUUGCAUUGAUGGUGGGAAUAGCUGGUUGUUUUUAUGUUGUUAUUUUUUACCAAGAUGCCCGGGCAGCUUGUUAUUUUUAUAUUUGUUUAAUGGUGGGAGUAGCUGGAACACCAUUUGGUAACAAGAAAUAGUUGUAUUUGCAUUGAUGGAAAUGCCAAACAUCCACAAAAAUUGUAUUCUUA
Nelumbo nucifera (sacred lotus) is the source of this 568-nucleotide non-coding RNA. The record is from RefSeq and is a predicted model, not a curated record. Lineage: Eukaryota; Viridiplantae; Streptophyta; Magnoliopsida; Proteales; Nelumbonaceae.